UAAUUCCAGCUCCAAUAGCGUAUAUUAAACUUGUUGCAGUUAAAAWDCUCGUAGUUGAACCUUGGAGCCUCAAAGGCUGUCCGGUCCACCUCUCCGCGAGUACUGGUCCGCARGCCGGGCCUUAAAGAAAUCCUUCUGGCGGAAGCUCAUGCCCUUCACUGGGCGUGUUGGGGAACCAGCGACUUUUACUUUGAAAAAAUUAGAGUGUUCAAAGUCAGGCCUUUGCUCGAGAUACAUUAGCAUGGAAUGACAGAAUAGGACGUGUGGUUCUUGAUUUUGUUGGUGGUUCUAGGACCGCCGUAAUGAUUAAUAGGGAUAGUUGGGGGCAUCAGUGAUUCAAUCGUCUGCGGUUAAAUUCUUGCGAUUGAAUGAACGAGACCUUAACUACUGCUAAAUAGCCAGGCCCGCUUUGGCAAGGGUCGCCGGCUUCAUUAGAGGGACUAUCAGCUCAAGCCGAUGGAAGUUUGAGGCAAUCGAACAGGAUCUGUGAUACCCUCGUAGAUGUUCUGGGCCGUACGCGCGCUACACUGACUAGAGAUCCAACGGUGUUAGUUCAUUUCCUUAGCCGAAAGGUACCUUACGGGUAAUCUUGUUAAACUCUGUCGGUGCUGGGGGUAGAGCAUGUCGCAAUUAUUGCUGAACUUCAACGAGGAAUUGACCUAGUAAGCGCAUAGUCAUGAGCAUGCGCUGAUUACGUCCCUGCCYUUUGUACACACCGCCCGUCAAUCA
RNAcentral lists this ribosomal RNA (729 nucleotides) under uncultured organism. Its description in RNAcentral is "partial small subunit ribosomal RNA". It matches the Rfam family "Eukaryotic small subunit ribosomal RNA", at positions 582 to 1702 of the family's 1831-position model. The record is from RNAcentral.